This 811-nucleotide ribosomal RNA is filed under the name uncultured bacterium. RNAcentral describes it as "bacterial SSU rRNA". It matches the Rfam family "Bacterial small subunit ribosomal RNA", at positions 8 to 796 of the family's 1533-position model. The record is from RNAcentral.
AGAGUUUGAUCCUGGCUCAGAACGAACGCUGGCGGCGUGCCUAACACAUGCAAGUCGAGCGCGAAUAGGGGCAACCCUUAGUAGAGCGGCGCACGGGUGCGUAACACGUGGGUAAUCUGCCUGGAAGCCUGGGAUAACUAGCCGAAAAGGUUAGCUAAUACCAGAUGAGACCACGGACUCUUCGGAGUCUGAGGGAAAAAGGUGGCCUCUGUAUACAAGCUAUCACUUCCAGAUGAGCCCGCGGCCCAUCAGCUAGUUGGCGGGGUAAUGGCCCACCAAGGCAACGACGGGUAGCUGGUCUGAGAGGACGAUCAGCCACACUGGAACUGAGACACGGUCCAGACUCCUACGGGAGGCAGCAGUGGGGAAUUUUGCGCAAUGGGCGAAAGCCUGACGCAGCAACGCCGCGUGUGUGAUGAAGGUCUUCGGAUUGUAAAGCACUUUCGACCGGGACGAAACCCUUCAGCCCAAUACGCUGAAGCUUGACGGUACCGGGAGAAGAAGCACCGGCUAACUCUGUGCCAGCAGCCGCGGUAAUACAGAGGGUGCAAGCGUUGUUCGGAAUUAUUGGGCGUAAAGCGCGUGUAGGCGGCUUUGCAAGUCGGGUGUGAAAGCCCUCGGCUCAACCCGAGGAAGUGCGCCCGAAACUGCAGAGCUUGAGUGCCGGAGAGGAUGGCGGAAUUCCCCAAGUAGAGGUGAAAUUCGUAGAUAUGGGGAGGAACACCGGUGGCGAAGGCGGCCAUCUGGACGGUCACUGACGCUGAGACGCGAAAGCGUGGGGAGCAAACAGGAUUAGAUACCCNNGUAGUCC